Molecule: long non-coding RNA, 507 nt
Organism: Macadamia integrifolia
Lineage: Eukaryota; Viridiplantae; Streptophyta; Magnoliopsida; Proteales; Proteaceae
Exons: 3
Source: RefSeq, a predicted model, not a curated record
AAGAAACGAAAUGUAAAAGAGAAGAAGGAAAGGAAAAAGAGAAAGAAGAAAAAGAGGUGUACAGUAGCAGUCUUUCUUGCUGUUGUAUACUCUUCUGGCUGCUGCUGUCUAGCCAUGGCUGCUGUAGAUAUGGGUGCAUGCAAGUGCCUUGUGCUACUUACAACAAGAAGGAGCUGGUUGGGUCUUGAUUCAGCUGAGAUUUGGAGAGGAGGGCUGAUUCAAGCUGUAUGCAUGCACCAAGAGAACAUCAAUGGAAUCUUAUAACUACAUUUGUUGAGGAUACGCGAGGCUAGGAAAUUGGUGAAGGAUUUCAGAUAUGAGAUUUCAGGUAUUGAAGCUGAAGCUAAAACAGAAGUGAGCUGGCGAUUCAUCGGAGAUGAAGAAAAGAUCUGGGAGUGGUUAUAGACAAGGACUUUGAUACUUUAUGUUUUAUAGUGUAAAUAAAAUGUAAGUGGUAUUAUAAAUUUGGUUAUAACUUGUGGAUGUAAUAAAUGAGCCUAUAAUAUU